Rhodamnia argentea is the source of this 664-nucleotide long non-coding RNA. RefSeq lists it as uncharacterized. The record is from RefSeq and is a predicted model, not a curated record. Lineage: Eukaryota; Viridiplantae; Streptophyta; Magnoliopsida; Myrtales; Myrtaceae. The transcript is spliced from 2 exons.
UUUUUUUCUUUAUUUAUUUUACGGACUAUACGGAUCAUCGUGGUCAUGGAAGUAAAAUGGUCACAAAAUCAUCGUUGGAAAACUGACAAUGCCACCAUCAUUAAUGCAAGACGCUGGCUGUGGCACCCCCGCCAUCAAUGGAUGACGAGGACAGUUAACCACAAGCAUGUGAAUUCGAGCUUGGAGUUUAAUGAGCUCGACAACGACAAUGGCGGCCAAUCAUUGAGGACUAAAUCAUGACGGUCGUCUGUGGUCAUGUUUUCCCUUAUUAUCAAUGGUGUGAUAGUUUGCUGAAGGAAAGGCCAUUUGUAUGUGACGCAACUCUCGAUCACAUAAUCUUCCUCGUGCGAUGGACAACGACGAGGAUAACGUACCAUCCCUACGUGAUGGGUAGGUCACGGGAGAUGUGGAUAAAGGACUGUCUGGAGUUCGGGUUGUAGCGAUGGCUAAGGGCCGAAGAGAAUGCUAGUGAGAAUAGCUAUAAUUAAAAGUAUCUCUUUAGAAUCAGUCAAAGUUGUUAUUUUGUUGGGAUUUUAUUGUUAUAGUCUUCCAUUAUAGUGGUUGGUUUCUUUGUUGCUAUUUUGUUCUUAUCUGUUAGUAUCAAUAGCUUAUUUUAAAAGCUUUGUUGUCAGAUGAAUAAAGCAAACAGUGAAGUAUUUCCCUC